GGAAAAAAAUAAAAUUGUGUUUUUUAACUGUACAGAUAACGAAUACGUGAUACAGAUUAAAAUAAAACAGCGGCACAAUCAAAAACACCACAGACAAUGAAGCGUUAGGCAUUAAUAAAAAAGUACUUACCCUGUUCGAAAUUAAUUGGAGAUUUAUGUUAAAACAUAAAUAAAGCAAGAAUAUUUUAUUUUGCUAACUUUUUAUUCUCAUUCAAUAAACAUUAUUUAAAAAUUAUUGAUCACAUUUUAAGCCUAUUAUACCUAUCAUACAAAUUCAACAGUAAAAUCUUAAUUUGCAAUCUCUUAUGUAAGUGCAAAAUCUAGAUAUAUAAAAACAUUUUAACUAUUUUGUUAUUUUCUGCUUUAUUACUUCAAUAUAACUUCAAAAUUGAUACACACAAAUUCAUCUCCACAAAAUCAAGACUAACAUUUUGAAGUAUUAGUAUAAACUUAGCCUAUAUAGGAGGCAUUUAAGUACAAUCCAUUUUCAUAUUCAUGGAAGCAAAAAACGUUUUUUUUUAAUAAUCACAGUUAAAUUCGAUAAAUAUUGUGAUAGUGAUUGUUCAUUGCAUCUUCCUCUAAAUGAUUUAACUAAAUAUAAAAGUGUAUUUUAUUUAUCUAUCUACCCACCUUAAUUUAAUUGUGAUCUUUCAGUAUAGGUACAUUAAAAAUUGUCUUUGUAAACAAAAUUGUGAUUCUAUUAUAAAAAUUUUGGAAUGUUAAUAAGUAUAAUAUUAUGCAUACAAUAAUAAAAUUAGUCUGCCUAUACAGCACCGUCGAAUUAAUCUCAAAUACCUAAUACUUUAUUGCUUUUAAAAUUGCAGUCUAAAUAUUUUAAUAGAAAGUAUCUAUUCGCUUGGAAUUCUAUACUAUUAUAAGUUAUUAUUUUACUUCUAUAUAAAUCCGUUUUAUACCAUUCCCAAAAAAAAAAAAAAGAAUAUAUAUUAUUUUUAAUACAUGACAAUGUAAAAGGCACUUAUAUAUUGUUUUUAAUUUUAAAAAGUGAUGUAUUAAAUUUUCUAAUCUGAGCAAAAUAGCAAGUUGAGCAAUAUUUUAAAAAUACGAUAUGGCUAGAGAAUGCCUGAAAAAUGUAUAAUUUUAUAAUUCAUUUUUUGGCAAGGCGCUUCAAAUAGUCUUUGAAUGAGAUCUUGUGAUGCCUCGAGUUUGACCAGAUAACAAGUGAUGUAUUUAUUUAUUAAUCAGCCUAAUAAUAAUAGUCAAAACAAAUAAAUAUUAUUAAAUAUUGGUAGUAACCUAAUAAUAAUUAUAAAGUAAUGUAACAAACAUACAUCUAUCUCAUAAAAUUUCAUAGUUUCCUUACAUUAAAAAAACUUCUAUCACAUACUUCGUUUUAUAAUAAUUCAUAUUACAAUCGCAUAAUAUAGGUAAAAAAUUGAUAAUUUCAUAAAAAUUUAGAUAAGACCACCUUGGCUAUUCUGAUAUAUUUUUGUAUCUUCAGGAAAAUAUUUAUUGCUACCAAUUACAAUGGGAAAUUCCCUUUAUAAAUAUCAUUAUAUUUUUUGUUUAAAAUUACUUUACUUAUCGGUAUGAUUAGUAAGUAUUAUCCAUACUAAUUAACAUAAAUGCGAAAGUAUGUCUGAUUUCCACUUUUUCCAGGACUAUCUGCUCAACCGAUUUUGACGAAAGGUACUUACAAAGAUAGCUUGUGUCUCAUAGACAGACAUAAGCCAUUGUUUAUUCCAGAUAAUAGCCUCCAAGGGUUUAUCAAAACCUAAAUCUAUGCAGACGAAGUCACAGGUAUCAUCAAGUAAUAUAAUAAACUACAUACAGCCCGGUAACUGAUAAAUCUUCUGGUAUAUACACAUAAGUCUAAAUCUAAAAUCUUAUAAUAUGAAAGUUAAUUCAAAUACAAAAACGAACACACAUGCAACAAAUGUCCAGUAUCAAUCAGGAACAUUUGGAACAACGACAA
Long non-coding RNA from Maniola jurtina (meadow brown), 1933 nucleotides. RefSeq lists it as uncharacterized. The transcript has 2 exons. Lineage: Eukaryota; Metazoa; Arthropoda; Insecta; Lepidoptera; Nymphalidae. The record is from RefSeq and is a predicted model, not a curated record.